GCAGACCACGUUAGAACCUCGGCUCCUGGAGUAGCAGAACCUCGGCUUCAAUGGGACCCUCAUUUCAUAAAUGAAGAAACUGAGAUUCAAAGAGGGGAACUACCGAAGGUUACAGAGCGAGUUCGUGGGUAAGCAUGGCUUCCCAGAUGACCACCAAGGUGGAAGGGAUGAUGAUGUCCAGGCAGAAGGGAGCUAGGCCGGCCCAGGCUUUUCCUCUAGGCACAGCGGACUCCAGGUUCAGCCUUCCCGGAUGGUAAUGUUGCAUUCUGAAGAGCUACUUUCCCGCCAACUCAUCUCUGGACUUCUCUGGGGCCCAACUCUGGUUUCCUGCCUGCAGGAGGUCCCCUCUGACUUCCGACAGUAGAUGACCCUUCUGACUCACAGUUCUACUGCUGGGAAAUGCCUCCAGAGCUGCUGCCCACCCUCUCUGCAUCCCUCCAGGUCACUGGGUGUUGAGUCAGGGGAAGCAGGGAUACACACGGGCGGGAAACUCAGGUCUCCUAAAUGUCAGAGCCUCAGGACUUCGGCUACUCAGAAGUAGCUCCCUCCUGGGCCACCAGGGAGCAGCAGGGCAGCCAGCAUCCAGACAUCCCCCCUGGGUUCUGCUGCUCAGAGGCUAGAUGGAGAACCAAGGUGGGAAAAAGGCUUAAACCACAGCGUGGGGAGAUUUAGGUUAGAUGGGUCAGAGGAAGUUUAGGACAAGCCUUGCCCUUUUCAGUUUCUGUCCAGCUUCAGCACAGCCACUGCUUCCUCUCUUUGGUUUUUACCCAUCCCCCUCUCUCCCAUCACCUCUAUCCCCUUCCAGCUUUCCUUUCCUUCCCUCCUUCCCAAACCCCAGAGUUUCUCAGGAUUAGCUGCCCGUGUGCCUAUCUCCCCCACCCCCAUGCUUUCCUCACUGUCUCACAGAAACAGGCAAACACACACACAUGCAUACAACCAUGAGCUGGCCCUGAGAGUUCUCUGACUGGACUGGGGUUGGAGCCCCAGCUCUUGUCCUGAGCUGAGGCCCUUCCCCCAGGUAUCUUGGGGCUUCCAUCAUUUCUCUUGACAGGAGCUGUGGGCGUCUGGGCAGAUGGGAACCUGGGGGAGGUGUGGGGAGCCCUCUCUGAGGCAGGAAGCUCCCACGCUACUGUAGUUAAAAUAAUCCGGCAGCAACUUGGGGCAGCCAUCUGGGAUGCCCAGAUCUUCCAGGACACCCAGCUCUCAACAACAACCCUAUAGGAACAAAUCAAAAACCUAAGAGAUACUUAUAGGCCCUGGAAAUGUCUCCCAAAAGUGGCCUGAACUUGAGCCCUGUUUCCUUUUAUCUUCUUCAGGUUAGCACUGGGCAUUGGCAUUUGCAAAAAAACUCUAAGCAUUAAGCAAAACUUGUAGGAGUGGAAGAUACAGCGUUCUGGACCUCCAGUCCUAAUACCCAGCCACACCCCAGCAGCUAUGCAUGGUUCCAUGGGAGAGCAGGCAUAGCCCAUCCUGCUGGCAUAUAGUCCAGCCAUAUCUUCCAAUGCCCACCUGGAGACUAAGCCGAGUUCUGCCCAGCAACAGGAGCUCAGAGCUCCAGAGAGCCUCUCCUGGGGUGCAGACUCAGGAGAUCUUAGCUCAGGAGCAGACUUAGCCUGACUUCCUCUUUUAUAGGAGGAGACAGACUUAGUUACAGAGGAAACCAGAGUUGUUAUAAAUAGCAAGGAAGGGAGAAACCUGCUAUGGAUUACAAACACGCCAUCAAUCUUAAAACAAACUAUUUUUAGUUUCAAAUAAUAACGAGAGUCUAAUUAAUGCUCUGUAUAACUUCAAAUGUGGGAUCUUUAUCUGCCUUUCUACUUUGUGAUGCUUUCUAAUACAGUAUUAGGGCCAAAGGCAGGAAGAGAUGUGGGCAAUUCUCAAUGUUACCAAAUCCUAGAUAUGGAAAGAACCUGAGAAAUUUAGUCCAGCCCUUUCAUUUUCAGUGAAGAAACUCAGGCCCAGAGAGGUAAAAGGACUUGUCCAAAGUUGCAUAGUAAGGUAGGGACUGAGCAGUGACUAAAAGCCUAGUCCCUGUACUCCAGAAGCAGGACAGUUUCCACAGCAGCACAAUAGAACCCAAAGGCUAAACAUCUGUGGUUGGGCAGUUGGUGAGUUUAUAGCCUGGAUAAAAGUCAGGUCUAAGCCAGGUGUGGAG
RNAcentral lists this long non-coding RNA (2155 nucleotides) under Homo sapiens (human). Its description in RNAcentral is "non-protein coding lnc-INAVA-1:5". The record is from RNAcentral. Lineage: Eukaryota; Metazoa; Chordata; Mammalia; Primates; Hominidae.